UGGAUCCAGACUUUGAUUCUGGCUCAGGAUGAACGCUAGCUACAGGCUUAACACAUGCAAGUCGAGGGGAAACGACAUCGAAAGCUUGCUUUUGAUGGGCGUCGACCGGCGCACGGGUGAGUAACGCGUAUCCAACCUGCCCACCACUUGGGGAUAACCUUGCGAAAGUAAGACUAAUACCCAAUGAUAUCUCUAGAAGACAUCUGAAGGAGAUUAAAGAUUUAUCGGUGAUGGAUGGGGAUGCGUCUGAUUAGCUUGUUGGCGGGGUAACGGCCCACCAAGGCGACGAUCAGUAGGGGUUCUGAGAGGAAGGUCCCCCACAUUGGAACUGAGACACGGUCCAAACUCCUACGGGAGGCAGCAGUGAGGAAUAUUGGUCAAUGGACGAGAGUCUGAACCAGCCAAGUAGCGUGCAGGAUGACGGCCCUAUGGGUUGUAAACUGCUUUUAUAAGGGAAUAAAGUGAGUCUCGUGAGACUUUUUGCAUGUACCUUAUGAAUAAGGACCGGCUAAUUCCGUGCCAGCAGCCGCGGUAAUACGGAAGGUCCGGGCGUUAUCCGGAUUUAUUGGGUUUAAAGGGAGCGUAGGCCGGAGAUUAAGCGUGUUGUGAAAUGUAGACGCUCAACGUCUGCACUGCAGCGCGAACUGGUUUCCUUGAGUACGCACAAAGUGGGCGGAAUUCGUGGUGUAGCGGUGAAAUGCUUAGAUAUCACGAAGAACUCCGAUUGCGAAGGCAGCUCACUGGAGCGCAACUGACGCUGAAGCUCGAAAGUGCGGGUAUCGAACAGGAUUAGAUACCCUGGUAGUCCGCACGGUAAACGAUGGAUGCCCGCUGUUGGUCUGAAUAGGUCAGCGGCCAAGCGAAAGCAUUAAGCAUCCCACCUGGGGAGUACGCCGGCAACGGUGCAACUCAAAUGAAUUGACGGA
RNAcentral lists this ribosomal RNA (926 nucleotides) under uncultured bacterium. RNAcentral's name for it is "bacterial SSU rRNA". It matches the Rfam family "Bacterial small subunit ribosomal RNA", at positions 1 to 917 of the family's 1533-position model. The record is from RNAcentral. RNAcentral also lists the same sequence under 1 other name.